Molecule: ribosomal RNA, 447 nt
Filed under: Triticum aestivum (bread wheat)
Lineage: Eukaryota; Viridiplantae; Streptophyta; Magnoliopsida; Poales; Poaceae
Description: partial small subunit ribosomal RNA
Source: RNAcentral
AUGGAGGUAGUCAGUGGGCGGAGCCCCAGCCACGCUGUGACGUACAAUGACCAAGACGGUGGUGACUACACGAGUGGGCACCCCAUGCCGAUGCACAUCGUGGACUGGACGUGGAGGCUAUACGGCGAGGGGAAGGCGUUACAUGCCGCCGACCCGUCGCUCGACAGCAAUUUCGAGCAGGCGCAGGUGGACUGCACACUGAGGCUGGCACUGGCGUGCUGCCACCCCAACCCAAGGGACACGCCGUCCAUGAGGGCAGCAGUGCAGGUGUUAAUCGAUGGAGCCCGAGCACCAGAGCCGCCGAUGAAUAAGCAUGUGUUUAUUUGGCCUUCACGCGGCAAUCAGCAGGAGAUGGAGCUGCCAGAUGUCGGGUUGCUCUUCACGGGAGGGGCUCGACAGCACAGCAGUUUCUGCUCCAUGACAUCCACUUCCCUCACUGGGAGGUGA